Long non-coding RNA from Manis javanica (Malayan pangolin), 1141 nucleotides. RefSeq lists it as uncharacterized. NCBI's taxonomy places the organism in Eukaryota, Metazoa, Chordata, Mammalia, Pholidota, Manidae. The record is from RefSeq and is a predicted model, not a curated record.
CUCCGGAGCACGCAACGACUGGGCCAGGACGGGGACUUCUGUGCAGAGGAGGAAGCCAUGGCCCCAGGAGGAGCUGGGGUUCCCUGGUGGCCCAUGGAUCCCAGCGAGGGCGGUCACUCUCAUCCUCACAGGCAACCCCCUUGCAGUGCCUCAGUUUCUCAGUCAAGAAAAGCCUCGCCAAGUGUGGGUCCGCAGCCUCUCCUUUCCCGGAACCCCGCCAGAGGAAAUGCGAGGGCAGGGGGAGGAGCUACGCAACGGGGGCGUGGCUGUGCGUCAGCGCCAGCGGGGGAGCCAAUGGGGCGCCCCUCGCAGGAAUACCCCGGCUGUUCUGUCGUCCGCAUUCCGGGCCAGCCCCCUCCACGCCCGCCGGGCCAACUGGGGAGUCCGAGGCCCAGAGCAGCGCCGGCGGACUCGCCAAGGCGCUAGCUGGGCAUGCGGAGGGGCCGCGCCCGCCGCCCGGGGUGGGGAACCUCCUACUCAGGAAUUUCCACUUCUUGAUGGACCACUUCAGUCCAACACAAACUUUGGACCCAGAGUGACUCAGUUUAAAACCUGCAUGUGCAUUUCUUACCUUGGAUCUUCCCGAUUAUCUGUGGCAAAGUGCAUGCAGGGUGAAGAACAGCACCGAGGAAAUGUAGAAUGGGAUUUCUGUCCUGCAAGGCCCAAACUGGAAGGUCUCACUCCACGGUCCCAACCAUCUGUAGCACGCCAGCCAACAAGAGAGGCUCCACUGCACUGAUACACAAAAUCUGUGAUGAGACACCACGCAAGAGGGUCACUCAAUCCCAGAAGGUGAGCAGUGAGCCUUGCGGCGCUGACCCAUCUCUCAGAGGCCUGAUGUGGUCCCAGGGUGAGUUCAGAAUGGCCUGUGGGAUUGGCAUCUGCAGCAAAGAGGCUACAGGGAGAAAAUGAGAGAUUCUGAUCCUUCCUGGUGUCUUACAAUGUCUUAGCAAAUGGCUGGUUCCUCAGGCCAAGAACUUUUGUGUUUCUCCUGUCCUGUCCUGUCCUUUUCUGCUUUGCUUCUCCACAGCAACCCGCCUAGGACUUGAAUCCCAGCUCUGUUCCCCACUUGCUGGGAUGUGUGACUUUAGCCAUGUCACCUAACUCUCCCAGUCUCUGUCCACCACUGUAAAUAAAGAUA